GAGUUUGAUCCUGGCUCAGGAUGAACGCUGGCGGCGUGCCUAACACAUGCAAGUCGAGCGAAGCACUUUGCUUUGAAUCUUUCGGGAGGACGAGUGAUUUGACUGAGCGGCGGACGGGUGAGUAACGCGUGGGUAACCUGCCUCACUCAGGGGGAUAACAGUUAGAAAUGGCUGCUAAUACCGCAUAAGACCACAGCACCGCAUGGUGCAGGGGUAAAAACUCCGGUGGUGUGAGAUGAGCCCGCGUCUGAUUAGCUAGUUGGCAGGGUAAAGGCCUACCAAGGCGACGAUCAGUAGCCGACCUGAGAGGGUGACCGGCCACAUUGGGACUGAGACACGG
RNAcentral lists this ribosomal RNA (340 nucleotides) under uncultured bacterium. Its description in RNAcentral is "bacterial SSU rRNA". It matches the Rfam family "Bacterial small subunit ribosomal RNA", at positions 9 to 329 of the family's 1533-position model. The record is from RNAcentral.